RNAcentral lists this ribosomal RNA (253 nucleotides) under uncultured bacterium. RNAcentral describes it as "partial 16S ribosomal RNA". It matches the Rfam family "Bacterial small subunit ribosomal RNA", at positions 524 to 776 of the family's 1533-position model. The record is from RNAcentral.
UACGUAGGGACCGAGCGUUGUCCGGAAUCAUUGGGCGUAAAGAGCGUGUAGGCGGCCUUUUAAGUCCUGCGUGAAAUCCUGCGGCUCAACCGCAGACGGUCGUGGGAAACUGGAAGGCUAGAGUGCGGGAGAGGAGAGUGGAAUUCCCGGUGUAGCGGUGAAAUGCGCAGAUAUCAGGAAGAACACCCGUGGCUAAGGCGGCUCUCUAGUACGGUACUGACGCUGAGACGCGAAAGCGUGGGGAGCGAACAGG